RNAcentral lists this ribosomal RNA (684 nucleotides) under uncultured Bacilli bacterium. Its description in RNAcentral is "bacterial SSU rRNA". It matches the Rfam family "Bacterial small subunit ribosomal RNA", at positions 67 to 722 of the family's 1533-position model. Lineage: Bacteria; Bacillati; Bacillota; Bacilli. The record is from RNAcentral.
CGCUUCUUUCCUCCCGAGUGCUUGCACUCAAUUGGAAAGAGGAGUGGCGGACGGGUGAGUAACACGUGGGUAACCUACCCAUCAGAGGGGGAUAACACUUGGAAACAGGUGCUAAUACCGCAUAACAGUUUAUGCCGCAUGGCAUAAGAGUGAAAGGCGCUUUCGGGUGUCGCUGAUGGAUGGACCCGCGGUGCAUUAGCUAGUUGGUGAGGUAACGGCUCACCAAGGCCACGAUGCAUAGCCGACCUGAGAGGGUGAUCGGCCACACUGGGACUGAGACACGGCCCAGACUCCUACGGGAGGCAGCAGUAGGGAAUCUUCGGCAAUGGACGAAAGUCUGACCGAGCAACGCCGCGUGAGUGAAGAAGGUUUUCGGAUCGUAAAACUCUGUUGUUAGAGAAGAACAAGGACGUUAGUAACUGAACGUCCCCUGACGGUAUCUAACCAGAAAGCCACGGCUAACUACGUGCCAGCAGCCGCGGUAAUACGUAGGUGGCAAGCGUUGUCCGGAUUUAUUGGGCGUAAAGCGAGCGCAGGCGGUUUCUUAAGUCUGAUGUGAAAGCCCCCGGCUCAACCGGGGAGGGUCAUUGGAAACUGGGAGACUUGAGUGCAGAAGAGGAGAGUGGAAUUCCAUGUGUAGCGGUGAAAUGCGUAGAUAUAUGGAGGAACACCAGUGGCGAAGGC